UGUCCAAUGCGGGAAUCGAACCCGGGUUGUAGUGGUCGAAAACCAAACGGUUUAACCACUUUCCACCUAACCCAAAUAAGAC
RNAcentral lists this transfer RNA (82 nucleotides) under Cordylochernes scorpioides. Its description in RNAcentral is "tRNA-Glu". Lineage: Eukaryota; Metazoa; Arthropoda; Arachnida; Pseudoscorpiones; Chernetidae. The record is from RNAcentral.